Molecule: ribosomal RNA, 1018 nt
Filed under: Protoblastenia siebenhaariana
Lineage: Eukaryota; Fungi; Ascomycota; Lecanoromycetes; Lecanorales; Psoraceae
Description: partial large subunit ribosomal RNA
Rfam family: Bacterial large subunit ribosomal RNA (bases 1-472)
Source: RNAcentral
AACUUAAUGAAGGUAUGAUGUUUUUGUGGACAUUGGGGGGUCGUGAAGACUCUAUCAGUGAGUAUUUGUUCUCGGAAGGGCCAUAUAUGAAUUUUGAAUAAUCGGACAUAGUACGAUAAGGUUGUAUGUCUAAAGGGAAACAGCCCAGAACAAGAGUUAAUAAGGUUCCAAAAUUAUUGUUAAGUGAAAUUAAAGUAGUAUUUAUCCAAAACGAUCAGGGAAUAGGCUUAGAAGCGGCCACUUUUUGAAGAUCUCGUAACAGAGCACUGGUUUUACUUACAUAGUUCUAUUGUAUAAAAACAGGGAUAAAAGCACUGAAAAUUCAACGGAUCUAAACAAUAUACCGAUACCUUGUCUAUACAUAUAUACGUAUGUGUGGGGUAGCAGAACGUUGGGUAAUUUACUGCUCUGCUUUAGGUCUCUUUGAGAUACUAGAGGGUAUUAUUAAAAAAUCCCAAGUGAGAAUGCUGACAUGAGUAACGAUAAAGGGAGAAAGCAGAUGCUAAUGCGGUAUCCCUUCGCCUUAAGCUUAUGGUAUUUAUUAAAGUCACGGCCUCUAAGUUUCGGUAUCUUAUUGUGACCACAUGAUAAAAAGCUUUUUGUCUAUGUAUUUGUGUGUUGAUCAAUAGACAAAUAUAAGGGUAAAAACAAGUAUAGUAUCUUUCGAUUUAUCUCUUGAUUAAUGAGGAGUAAGCACUUACUUAUAAAGCACUUAUUAUUAAAUAUACACUUAAUAAGUGUACAUUGAUAAGAAUCCUAAUAAGAUACCUAGAUCAAAAGGUAGAAACGAUGAGCAAAUCUAUAGUAUACAGAAAACAACAUAUUAAACUUAUAAACUAUUUAAUUUUUUUUUCUUGUUUAUUCAUAAAAUUUUAAUCCAAGUUACAAAGUUGCUAGUGCGAUAUGUUCUGGAAAACUGUAAAUAGUGAUAGAGCAACUUAGGCAAUUUUUAGUGGCAUAAAAGAUUUUAUGUUAAGACAUAUUCAUAUUGUAUCUUACAAUUUGUCUUGCUCUGCCC